GUGCCAGCCGCCGCGGUACUACGUAGGUGGCAAGCGUUACUCGGAAUUACUGGGCAUAAAGGGCGUGUAGGCGGACGUGUAAGUCCGGUGUAAAAGCCCCCGGCUCAACCGGGGAAGGUCAUCGGAUACUGCGCGUCUCGAGUGCGGGAGAGGAGAGUGGAACUCUUGGUGGAGCGGUGAAAUGCGUAGAUAUCAAGAGGAACGCCGGUGGCGAAAGCGGCUCUCUGGCCCGUUACUGACGCUGAGGCGCGAAAGCUAGGGGAGCAAACGGGAUUAGAUACCCCGGUAGUCCUAGCCCUAAACGAUGGGUACUAGGUAGGGGCGGCUCCGAUGUCGUCUCUGCUGUAGCAAAUGUGCUAAGUACCCCGCCUGGGGAGUACGGUCGCAAGGCUGAAACUCAAAUGAAUUGACGGGG
This 415-nucleotide ribosomal RNA is filed under the name uncultured prokaryote. RNAcentral describes it as "bacterial SSU rRNA". It matches the Rfam family "Bacterial small subunit ribosomal RNA", at positions 505 to 918 of the family's 1533-position model. The record is from RNAcentral.